ACGAACGCUGGCGGCGUGCUUAACACAUGCAAGUCGAACGGAAAGGCCCUGCUUUUGUGGGGUGCUCGAGUGGCGAACGGGUGAGUAACACGUGAGUAACCUGCCCUUGACUUUGGGAUAACUUCAGGAAACUGGGGCUAAUAACGGAUAGGAGCUCCUGCUGCAUGGUGGGGGUUGGAAAGUUUCGGCGGUUGGGGAUGGACUCGCGGCUUAUCAGCUUGUUGGUGGGGUAGUGGCUUACCAAGGCUUUGACGGGUAGCCGGCCUGAGAGGGUGACCGGCCACAUUGGGACUGAGAUACGGCCCAGACUCCUACGGGAGGCAGCAGUGGGGAAUAUUGCACAAUGGGCGGAAGCCUGAUGCAGCAACGCCGCGUGCGGGAUGACGGCCUUCGGGUUGUAAACCGCUUUCGCCUGUGACGAAGCGUGAGUGACGGUAAUGGGUAAAGAAGCACCGGCUAACUACGUG
This 467-nucleotide ribosomal RNA is filed under the name uncultured bacterium. RNAcentral describes it as "partial 16S ribosomal RNA". It matches the Rfam family "Bacterial small subunit ribosomal RNA", at positions 29 to 507 of the family's 1533-position model. The record is from RNAcentral.